RNA transcript from Colius striatus (speckled mousebird), 5511 nucleotides. It is a transcript of the gene named TSC22 domain family member 1, with no coding region annotated. The record is from RefSeq and is a predicted model, not a curated record. NCBI's taxonomy places the organism in Eukaryota, Metazoa, Chordata, Aves, Coliiformes, Coliidae. The transcript is spliced from 6 exons.
UCAGCCGCAGACAUUAGAGCUAGGAAGAUGGCGCACCCGGCAAUGUUUCCUAGAAGGGGCAGCAGCAGUAGCAGCGGCAGCAGCUGCGUUACUGCUCCCACUGCACCAGGUACCGGCGUUGGAAGCGCUGCCCUCGCUGCCGAGGAUUAUCAGCCGCCUUUGCUGGUCCAGCCGCCACCUCCAUCUCCUGCAGCAUCUUCAUCCGCGGGUCCACAGCCGACACCCCCUCCUCCACAAAGCCUGAACCUCCUCUCGCAGUCUCAGCUCCAGCCACAACCUCUUGCACAGACUGGAGCUCAAAUGAAAAAGAAAAGUGGCUUCCAAAUUACCAGUGUGACCCCUGCUCAAAUAUCUGCUAGUAUGAGCUCUAAUAACAGCAUAGCUGAGGAUACAGAAAGCUACGAUGACCUGGAUGAGUCUCAUACCGAAGACCUAUCUUCUUCGGAAAUCUUGGAUGUUUCUUUAUCCAGGGCCACCGACUUGGGAGAACCUGAGAGGAGCUCCUCUGAAGAGACUUUAAAUAACUUCCAAGAGGCAGAGACUCCUGGGGCUGUUUCUCCAAACCAGCCUCAUCUUCCUCAGCAGCAUGCUCUUCUGCCUCAUCACCCACAGCAGGGUGUUGUGAUCAAUGGAAGCGUUCACCCCCAUCAUGUUCAUCACCACCACCAUCUUCACCACCACCACCAUGGACAUCAUCAUGCAUCGCAUCCUGGGGUGGGCAGUGCCCCAAUUUCUGGAGGACCUCCGCCCAGCCCGUCGUUCAGAAAACUGUCAACAACUGGAAGCUCUGACAACGUUAUAUCAAAUGCACCAGUUUCUGCUGCAUCAUCCACUGGUUCUCCGGCAUCUGUUGUGUCUAAUAUCCGCACUACAAGUACUCCUGGCAAUUUAGGUGUAAGUCCUGCUACUGGAACUAGUACCUUAAAUAAUAUGGGUGGUGGUAGUUCCAGUGUGGCAAGCAACGUGCUUGGUACUAUAAAUUUAAGCAACAUCACGAGUACUGGUAAUAUAAAUGCUUUGUCUGGAACUAGCAGCAAUGUUAAUGUGAAUAUCUUGAGUGGUGUUGGCAAUGGUACGAGUGCUUCCUCUAGUGUCAUUAACAAUGUUACUAAUCCAACUGCAGGAGGGGCAGUGGGAUCAAGCCAGCAGCAGCCCUCAUCUGGCACCUCAAGGUUUAGGGUUGUAAAAUUAGAUUCUAGUUCUGAACCUUUCAAAAAAGGUAGAUGGACAUGCACUGAGUUCUAUGAUAAAGAAAACACUGUUGCAGCGUCAGAAGGAGUAGCAGUAAACAAAGCAGUAGAGACGAUAAAACAAAACCCGCUUGAAGUGACUUCUGAAAGGGAGAGCACCAGUGGGAGUUCUGUUAGCAGCAAUGUAAGCACACUGAGUCACUAUACAGAAAGUGUGGGAAGUGGAGAAAUGGGAGCACCUACUGUGGUACAGCAGCAAGCAUUUCAAGGUGUGGGUCCGCAGCAGAUGGAUUUUAGCAGCGCUGCUCCUCCGGCAAUUCCAGCAUCUAGUAUACCACAGAGUGUUUCUCAAUCACAGCUUGCACAAGUCCCGCUGCAUUCUCAAGAGGUAAACUACACACAGCAGAAGCCAGGGGUCCAACCUCCUGCACAGGCCAGUCUAACCACUGUUACUGGGGUUCAGCCAGCCCCAGUUAAUAUACUAGGUGUAUCCCCGUCUCUGGGCCACCAGCAACCUGCCAUUCAAACUAUGGCUCAACAGCAGCUCCCGUAUUCUCAGCCAGCGCAGCCUGUGCAAGCUUUGCCAGUCGUACAGCAGCAGCAGUUGCAGUAUGGACAACAGCAGCAACAGCAGCAGCAGACGGUUCCUACGCAGAUGGCUGCAGCUCAUGUUAAGCCGGUGAACCAAAACUCCGUUACAGGGGCUAUGCCAGACUACAUUCAGCAUCAGCAGAUCCUUCAGACUCCAGCCCCGGCUAUGCAGCCUAGUUCUGCAGGAGUAGGAGCAGGGCAACCAGUUCCUGUUGCCCAGACGCAGAGCAUGCAGCCUUCAGUACAAGCACAUCCAGCGGCUGCCCCAGCUCAGCCUGUUGCACAUGCUCCAACAGCAAUACCAGGUGUAGGUACCAGUGGUCAAAUGUUGAAUGUCGGGCAACAAGGAAGCGUAGCCACUGUGGUGCAACCACCAUCUGCUGCAAACCAAAUUCCACCUCCAGUUAUGCCGUCAACGGCUGCUCCUCCAUCUUCACAAGUGGUGCAGCCUGUGCAGACAGGAAUAAUGCAGCAGGGAUUACAGGGUAAUGCUUCAGGCCUUCCUCAGCAAGUGGUCAUUGCUCAGCAAAGCAACUUGUUACCUGUACAGCCACAGGCACAGGGAGUGGAAUCUGUAGUCCAAGGGAUGACUGGCCAGCAGCUGUCUGCGGUUAGCCCUAUACCUUCUACUAGUACUGUUCCUGCACCAAGUCAGGCUGGUUCUGCUGUGCCUCCUGGCAUACCUUCUGCUUCUAUAGGUUUGGGACAGCCACAGAAUAUAGCGCAAGCCUCAGCUGUGCAGAAUGGAAAUUUGGCUCAAGGUGUUAGUCAGCCUCCCUUGAUAUCAACAAGUGUAGGUAUGCCAGUGGCACAGAGUGUGCCCCAGCAGAUCCCGCUAAGCUCUACCCAGUUCCCCGCACAAUCACUAGCUCAGUCAAUUGUAAGCCAAAUUGAAGAUGGCAGACGCCCUACAGAACCUUCUUUAGUGGGCUUACCUCAGGCUGCCAGUGGCGAGAGCGGUGUUGGAGCAUCAGCCGUUUCAGAUGGCAGUAGCAGCAACGUGCCGUCCUCUGCUUCCCUCUUUCCGCUGAAGGUGCUGCCGUUGACAACGCCACUCGUAGAUGGUGAGGAUGAGAGAUACAGAAUGGCAGUCAAACACUGCACACUGGUAUGCCUGUGAAGAGGCACUGCCAAAGUUAAUUGUGUCUAGUGCAAAAGCGGGAGUUCUGACUGAUCAAAGCAGCUUCCAGGUCCUGCAAGAACUGUCUGAAAGACCUUGACCAGAGAAGUGUAGGAAUUGUGUGAAGAUUGAGAACGCAGUAAGAAAAAUGAUGCUUUAAAAAAAAAGUCUUAUGCACUCUGCCCAGAAGCAUAGAAUUUCCCUAAGGCUGAAUGAAGUCUUUCUGCCUCCCUAUCCUGGAAGUAUGGAGUCCCUGCCUCAGCCUACGGCUUCAUUCUUUUUCCAGCUGCCCACAAAAGUAAAGAACCAAUGUGAGAGUUUGAAGAAAGAAUCCGCUCAGAGGACUGAGUCUCAAGCAAAAGCUCCAGGUUGCAGACUCAGAAAGAAACUUCCUUUGGGGAAGGAUCUGCUUCCAGGAUUUGCUCGUCUCUUUUUUCCUUGGGCAAACAGAAUUCUUGAAGCAAACAACAGGGUUGCAGGACACCUUCUAACCUUUAUACUGCAUCACAAGCCUUCAGCAGAAGAUCUUGAGAGCCAUUUAUGUUGCUGGAAGAUGACUGGUUUUGGAUCUUGGCCUUCCUUAAGCAGGAUCUCCUGACAAAAGUGGGAUUGGGAAAGAAAUGACUCCUUUUUCCAUCACACAGAGCCACCCUAGAAAUGGAGGCCUAGGCAGAAAAUUACUUCUAAUGCAUCAUUCUUUAGGAAAUUGGUUUGGCCUCAUAUGGUCCUUUUGCUACAUUGUCAUAAAGAUGUCUUUUAUAAAACCUAAACCUGGCAUCUUCCUAUCUGACCGUGAAUUCAGUAAACCCAACUUUAAGGGUUUACAGGUCUAAUAGUGUGAUCAGAUCUUGCUGUCCCCUGCAUAGGAGAUGCCAUGUGAAACAGGAUUAUGCUGUGGUUCAGACUGUUACAUUCUAAAACCUUUUCUACUUACAGUCCGUUUAAAUUAUUAGAAAUAAUAAUAAAGCUUCUUGUGAAAAUGGUAUCUCAUUAGGCUUCUACCUCACCAAGUUUAAUUGAAAAUAAAUUUGAGCCGAAAAGGUCAUAAUAGUAAUAUGAGAAGUACUGCAUCUUUUGAGGUUUCCUGUGGUUUUGGGUCGAGAAGGUAUGUUGGAAGUGUUGAGAGCUAUGAAAGUGGAAGAACUUAAGAUUUUUUUUUUUUCUUUAAGAGUGAAAAGUUGUUUGUUAGAAAGCAGAAAGCUUUCAAUUAUUUUCAGCCUAAGGGAUUCUUAAUUAAGCGUCUUGUGAGAUCUCAAAUAGAAGCCUUAUGUUUGGCAGGAGUGAACAACACACACGCAUGCCCGUGUGCUUUUGUUCUUCUCUGUAGGAAAUAGUUUUGAAGAACAGGAUUUACUUUUAAUGUUCAGAUUAGGAAAGGGGAAAACUUUGUUCUGCAACUGCUUGUGAGAAGGGGUGGCAGGAGGGUGAACUGUACCCUCUGGCAGUGGGUAAAGAGCACUUUUAUUUUCCUGUUUUCUCCUUCUGGCAGUUGGAGUAAACUAGUCAGAUGCUUGUGCUUGGAUCCAAUUAAUUUCUUAAAUCAGUUACCACAAAACAUUGUUUUUUAAUGCCUAGAUCUUUCAUUAAAUUCACCAGCAUAUUUAAAUUGUUGAACGGUCUAAAUGUAGCCCUGAGGCCACUGCUUCAUGGCAGUUGUGACUUCUUACUGUGCUGGAAUGUAUUGCAGUCUCAGUACAUUCUAAAAAUAAUUGUUCAGAUGGUGCUGUUUUAAGUACAUACUUAUGUAGUGAGCCAUUUUCACCGGACUUUCAGACAUUUAGCUCUCUGGAUGGCUUUUUAAUAUCCUUUUGCUGUGAAUAUCAAACUUCUUUGUCUUACUGCUUCUGUGGUUAUCGAGUAAAAUGCUAAAUUUAUUACUUGAUAUUUUUAGAAAACUGAUAAUCAGAUGCAUGUGUUAAAUUCUGCAACCACAGUGAACUUGUGAACUUUGAAAUUUAAAGGUACAUCAGUUUAAUGUAUAAAUUCAGUCCUUUUUUUUAAUAUGUGGAAAUAUGUGUAUGAUGACCUUAAAACUGAGUACUCGUUCUAGGUGUAGACCUGAAUUGUGUGCUCAACAGGAAUAACCUAGAAGGUCUGUGACUCUCAGAUGUAAAUACUAACAUCUGUGGACACAGAUCUGUGCUAGCAGUGCUUUUAGUUGAAAAUACCAUUUUUGUUUUUCCAAACUCCUAGUUUGUUGGAGGUUUGAUAUCUUUUGUGCCUUCCUUAAUACGUAUACUUGCCUCAGACACAGUUUUUGGUCGUUCUGUAGUGUAAGGUAAAUUUUAGACCGUCGAAUGCUUAUGAACAUUGAAUACUUCUAGGAAAAUAACAGGGGUACCGAUAACUAUUGCUAAUAUUAUAGUCUCAGUUGCUAAAAUUACUUUAUUCCCUUCUCCAAGUCACAGUUAGAACAUUCUCCCCCCCAAAAAACCCCAAACCAAAAAACCUAACAAAACCCCCUAUUGUUAUUCUGCAGUCAGUUGUAUUACUUCUGGUCUAUCAGCAUUGUGUUAGCAUAUUACUAUCAUGCUCUGAGUUUUGCAGCUGGAAUCCUGGGUUCUUGAUACAUUUUUAGAGGAAUAACUCCUGCCUUUGUGUUAUUAAACA